UACGAGGGGUGCAAGCGUUGCUCGGAAUUAUUGGGCGUAAAGAGCUCGUAGGCGGCUUGUCGCGUCGGAUGUGAAAGCCCGGGGCUUAACUCCGGGUCUGCAUUCGAUACGGGCAGGCUAGAGUUCGGUAGGGGAGAUCGGAAUUCCUGGUGUAGCGGUGAAAUGCGCAGAUAUCAGGAGGAACACCGGUGGCUAAGGCGGCUCUCUAGUACGGUACUGACGCUGAGACGCGAAAGCGUGGGGAGCGAACAGG
Molecule: ribosomal RNA, 253 nt
Filed under: uncultured bacterium
Lineage: Bacteria
Description: partial 16S ribosomal RNA
Rfam family: Bacterial small subunit ribosomal RNA
Source: RNAcentral